GGUUAAGCGACUAAGCGUACACGGUGGAUGCCCUGGCAGUCAGAGGCGAUGAAGGACGUGCUAAUCUGCGAAAAGCGUCGGUAAGGUGAUAUGAACCGUUAUAGCCGGCGAUGUCCGAAUGGGGAAACCCAGUGCAAUUCGUUGCACUAUCGUUUGAUGAAUACAUAGUCAAACGAGGCGAACCGGGGGAACUGAAACAUCUAAGUACCCCGAGGAAAAGAAAUCAACCGAGAUUCCCCCAGUAGCGGCGAGCGAACGGGGAGCAGCCCGGAGUCUGAAUCAGCUUGUGUGUUAGUGGAAGCGUCUGGAAAGUCGCAGGGUACAGGGUGAUACUCCCGUACACUAAAACACACAGGUUGUGAACUCGAAGAGUAGGGCGGGACACGUGGUAUCCUGUCUGAAUAUGGGGGGACCAUCCUCCAAGGCUAAAUACUCCUGACUGACCGAUAGUGAACCAGUACCGUGAGGGAAAGGCGAAAAGAACCCCGGCGAGGGGAGUGAAAAAGAACCUGAAACCGUGUACGUACAAGCAGUAGGAGCCCACUUGUUGGGUGACUGCGUACCUUUUGUAUAAUGGGUCAGCGACUUAUAUUCUGUAGCAAGGUUAACCGUAUAGGGGAGCCGCAGGGAAACCGAGUCUUAACUGGGCGUUAAGUUGCAGGGUAUAGACCCGAAA
This 676-nucleotide ribosomal RNA is filed under the name Klebsiella michiganensis. Its description in RNAcentral is "partial 23S ribosomal RNA". It matches the Rfam family "Bacterial large subunit ribosomal RNA", at positions 1 to 720 of the family's 2925-position model. The record is from RNAcentral. Lineage: Bacteria; Pseudomonadati; Pseudomonadota; Gammaproteobacteria; Enterobacterales; Enterobacteriaceae.